Molecule: long non-coding RNA, 603 nt
Organism: Lagopus muta (rock ptarmigan)
Lineage: Eukaryota; Metazoa; Chordata; Aves; Galliformes; Phasianidae
Exons: 3
Source: RefSeq, a predicted model, not a curated record
CCUCCGUGCUGCUGCUGACCCACAGGAGCCAGGAGAAGCCUGGAGGGAGCAGGAGCUGUGAUUUGCACCUCAGGAAAAGCCAGGUGCAUGCUGGUGUAGGCUGCCUGUGGAGAGAUGCAGAGACAUUCAAGCUGUUAUUUGUUAUUCUCCUGAAGCACAGCGAAGCAGCCCCGGUGAGGAGUGAUCCCAGGCUGUGGCAUGUUCCAGCAGACGUGGUGGAAUGUGACAGCAAGGAACACACGCUGCCUGAGUCUCCCUGGGGAGAUGGGAGCAACAAUCAUGCUCGUUUGGUGUCCUUGCUGCCUGCAGUCACCCUGCACAGGAGGAGCCCGGUGGUCACUCUUGUCCCCGCAGCAGCAGACGUCGCCCAUCAAUGCUGCUGCCAGGACUCUGGUAAUGGAAGGUUCAGCUCCCUGGGACUGGCGGAGUCACGGCAUCAGGACUGGUAAGUGGGGAAUAACCAGCAUGUUUCUGUUAGCUGAUAGGAAACAUCCAAAGCAGUACUGCCAGCUGGAGGUCCUGUGCUCAUUUCAUACAAACCCUCGCUGCAGAGCAGCAUGCUUGGCUUUGCAGUAGGUGUGUUGCACACAACACAGGUAUGCG